UACGUAGGGGGCUAGCGUUGUCCGGAAUCAUUGGGCGUAAAGCGCGUGUAGGCGGUUCGGUAAGUCCGCUGUGAAAGUCGGGGGCUCAACCCUCGGAUGCCGGUGGAUACUGUCGGGCUUGAGUACGGAAGAGGCGAGUGGAAUUCCUGGUGUAGCGGUGAAAUGCGCAGAUAUCAGGAGGAACACCUAUGGCGAAGGCAGCUCGCUGGGACGUUACUGACGCUGAGACGCGAAAGCGUGGGGAGCAAACAGG
Molecule: ribosomal RNA, 253 nt
Filed under: uncultured bacterium
Lineage: Bacteria
Description: partial 16S ribosomal RNA
Rfam family: Bacterial small subunit ribosomal RNA
Source: RNAcentral